This 2964-nucleotide long non-coding RNA is filed under the name Ananas comosus (pineapple). Its description in RNAcentral is "long non-coding RNA (ACOM_LNC008175)". Lineage: Eukaryota; Viridiplantae; Streptophyta; Magnoliopsida; Poales; Bromeliaceae. The record is from RNAcentral.
UCCUAUCACUCUUUGGUUCUGACACUAAUAAUAACAGUACUGUUUCUAUAUUUAUUAUUUUUCGGUAUUAUUCAUAUUUUUAUUCAACGGUUCAGAUUUAAUUUUUUAAAAAUUUAAUAUGUAAUAACAUGUCAUUUUGAGAAAGGUACGAGUUACUAGAUACCCCAAAAAAAAGUAUUUGGUUCUUUUAUCAAACUCUAUUCUCUCUUUGUUUCAUUUUUCUCUCUCGGUCUUUCCUCUUCAUCCAUAAUAAAGAUGUAAAGGGGUAGGAUUCGGGGCGAAUUUCAAAAACCCGAACCCGAAUCCAAAUCCAACGAAUUUUAAAAAAUCAUAUCCAUACCCGUACCUAACUAAAAAUGCGAAACCCGAAUCCUAGCCCGAACCUAAAAUAUUUAUUUCUCUUUACAAUAUUUUAAAAUAUAUUAAAUUAAAUCUAAAGUUUAAAAAUACAUAUUCAAAUAUAACAUCAAAUAUUUAUAUAUAUAUUAUAUAUAACGUAAAAUAAAUUCGGAUUCCGGUUGGUUUCAAAUUCUGAUCAGAUACAAUCAAAAUACAUAUCCAAAUUCAAAUCCGUCUGGUUUUCGUUUCUGACAUUCAUAUUCAAAACUAUAUCCGUUUAGUACAGAUAAAUCGACUGCGUUUGCUUUUGAAUUUGAAUUUAGAUUCAAAUAAAAUUAUAGAUGUCCGUACCCAUUGACAUUCGUAAUCCACAGAUAUUUUAUCAUUUCAUAUCCGUAAUCUACAGAUAUUUUAUUAAAAAAUAUUACAACAUUGAAUUUAAAUUUUUUUUACCUAUAUUUAAAUUUUUAAAAAAAUUUGUGGUAAAAAAUUAAUAUAUAAAUUAGAAAAAUUUAGAAGUUUCUUAAACAAAUUAAAUAUAUUGAAUUCGUUAUUAUCAACAUUAAAUUUGUUAAAAUAGUAACACAAAAUUUCUCUUAUUUAAAUUUAAAUAUUAAAUAUUUAAAUUCAACAUAUUUAGAAAUAUUACUAUUUUUACGAUUCCUAAAAUUUAAAUUAAUGCCUAAAUUAGAAGAAUUCUAAAAUUUCUAAAAUUAAUGCCUAAAAUUUGGGAUAUCAAUUAAAUUUUAAACUAAUGGUUAAAUUCGUGCAAAAUUAAUGCUAAAUUUGGGAUAUUAAUCAAAACUUUCUUAAAACUUUGCCUAGUAUAAUUACAAAAAUACCCUCAUAUGAAAUAACCUUUUAACCUGCUACAUAAUUAUAUAACAUUUUUAACCUUCAUUAAUCAACGGUUAAGAUUUUUUUUUAUAUAAAAUAAAGUACCAAAUCAUUUCUCUAAUAAUAAAACACAACUAGUGGUCCAAAUUUUGUAGAAGUCUACAAGUUAAACCCGCCUAUUUGAUAAAGUUGUAAGNGAGAGAGAGAGAGACGUCGAGAGAGAGCGAGAGAAAGCGGCGUGCGAGAGAGAGGGCCGGGACGAAGGCGAGAGAGAGAUGAAAAUAAUACUGUUAAUUAGAUUUGGAAUUUUUGGAGGGUAAAAUUGUCAUUUUACAUAAUAUGUAGUAUUAACGGGUUUCAGUAAUGCAAGAUACACGACCCCCCUCCCGUUAAUAUUUUUGAUGUAAUCCUGCUCGAUUUGUAAUGCUAUAUUAACGACUAGAUUACAUAGUGGAUUAACCAAACACAGUUAUCCUGGCAGGAUUGCCUGUAAUCCUGUCAGGAUAACUCGAACCAAACGCACCCUUAAGGCUAAAGGAUAUAACAAAAUAAUAAUAUAUAAUAUUAUAUUCUUUUUUCCUAUUAAAAAAAAAUAAAGCAUGCAGGGAAAGUGUACAAGAAAUUCCGCAGCACCUUUGAUCUGGAUGAUUCAUUCAUUCCUAGCACCAAAAGAAACAGAGAUUGGCUUUACUUCGCUCUCUCAGCUGGUGUGGACUAAGCUUUGCUCAUGAAGAGAAAUUAUUGGCUGGACCGUGUCCGUCACCUCCGCUCGUGGACCGCCAAUGUCAUCUAUCAUAUAUCCUUCUCUUUAGAUGAAAGGCAGAUGGUUGGGCGGUCCACAGCUGACGUGGUGAUCUGUGACCAUGCAGGAAUUUCUUGCUGCCGUGUGAAACAGUGAGAGAGGUUGAGAGGGUGAGCAAAAAUUCAAGAGCCGUGUGCAAGGAAGGGAUAUUUUGUGUUGACGUUCAGGGCACACAUUAUGCUGUUGACAAAAGAGAAGCAUGUUUCACCUUCUUUAAUGCUGCGGUGAACUUCUCAGUUCACAUCCUAUCACUCUUUGGUUCUGACACUAAUAAUAACAGUACUGUUUCUGUAUUUAUCAUUUUUCUGUAUUAUUCAUAUUUUUAUUCAACAGUUGAGAUUUACUUUUUUUUUUUUUUAAUUAUGACCUGUAAUAACAUGUCAUUUUGAGAAAGAUACGAGUUACUAGAUACCCCAAAAAAAAGUAUUUGGUUCUUUUAUCAAACUCUAUUCUCUCUUUGUUUCAUUUUUCUCUCUCGGUGUUUCCUCUUCAUCCACAAUAAAGAUGUAAAAGGGUAGGAUUCGGGGCGGAUUUCAAAAACCCGAACCCGAAUCCAAAUCUAACGAAUUUUAAAAAGUCAUAUCCAUACCCGUACCUAACUAAAAAUGCGAAACCCGAAUCCUAGCCCGAACCUAAAAUAUUUAUUUUCUCUUUACAAUAUUUUAAAAUAUAUUAAAUUAAAUCUAAAAUUUUAAAAUACAUAUUCAAAUAUCAAAAUCCAUAUCCGAAUUCAAAUCCAUUAGGUUUUCAUUUCUGACAUUCAUGUCCAAAACUAUAUCUGUUUAGUAUAAAUAAAUCGAUUGCGUUUGCUUUUGAAUUUGGAUUCAAAUUCAGAUAAAAUUAUAGGUGUCUGUACCCAUUGACAUCCGUAAUCCAUAUAUAUUUUAUCAUUUCAUAUUCAUAAUCUACAGAUAUUUUAUUAAAAAAUAUUACAACAUUGAAUUUAAAUUUUUUUUUACUUAUAUUUAUUUUUUUUUUUAAUUUCU